UGGACGAAAGUCUGACGGAGCAACGCCGCGUGAACGAAGAAGGCCUUCGGGUCGUAAAGUUCUGUUGUUAGGGAAGAACAAGUACCAGAGUAACUGCUGGUACCUUGACGGUACCUAACCAGAAAGCCACGGCUAACUACGUGCCAGCAGCCGCGGUAAUACGUAGGUGGCAAGCGUUGUCCGGAAUUAUUGGGCGUAAAGCGCGCGCAGGUGGUUCUUUAAGUCUGAUGUGAAAGCCCACGGCUCAACCGUGGAGGGUCAUUGGAAACUGGGGAACUUGAGUGCAGAAGAGGAAAGUGGAAUUCCAAGUGUAGCGGUGAAAUGCGUAGAGAUUUGGAGGAACACCAGUGGCGAAGGCGACUUUCUGGUCUGUAACUGACACUGAGGCGCGAAAGCGUGGGGAGCAAACAGGAUUAGAUACCCUGGUAGUCCACGCCGUAAACGAUGAGUGCUAAGUGUNAGAGGGUUUCCGCCCUUUAGUGCUGCAGCUAACGCAUUAAGCACUCCGCCUGGGGAGUACGACCGC
Molecule: ribosomal RNA, 526 nt
Filed under: bacterium T-1-48-1G.S
Lineage: Bacteria
Description: bacterial SSU rRNA
Rfam family: Bacterial small subunit ribosomal RNA
Source: RNAcentral